RNAcentral lists this ribosomal RNA (255 nucleotides) under uncultured bacterium. RNAcentral's name for it is "partial 16S ribosomal RNA". It matches the Rfam family "Bacterial small subunit ribosomal RNA", at positions 524 to 776 of the family's 1533-position model. The record is from RNAcentral.
UACGUAGGGGGCGAGCGUUGUCCGGAUUUAUUGGGCGUAAAGAGCUCGUAGGCGGCUUAGCAAGUCGGGUGUGAAAAACUCCAGGCUCAACCUGGAGACGCCACUCGAGACUGCUAUGGCUAGAGUCCGGUAGGGGACCACGGAAUUCCUGGUGUAGCGGUGAAAUGCGCAGAUAUCAGGAGGAACACCGGUGGCGAAGGCGGUGGUCUGGGCCGGCACUGACGCUGAGGAGCGAAAGCGUGGGGAGCAAACAGG